This 1038-nucleotide long non-coding RNA is filed under the name Homo sapiens (human). RNAcentral's name for it is "DPPA2 upstream binding RNA". Lineage: Eukaryota; Metazoa; Chordata; Mammalia; Primates; Hominidae. The record is from RNAcentral.
ACCCACGCGGCGCAGCUCCCAAAGUUGCAGACAGCCCGGCGAACCGCGCAAUGCGCUUCUUCUGCCUGCAGCAGAGAAAAGGAAAGAAAACUCCGCAGGGGCUCCGUUGGCUUCUCCACGAGUGACAACCAUGUUUUCCCAGAUAGAAGACCGGAGCCCUGCUCCUUUGCGAUCCGCCGAGGGCUGCAGAGAGCAUCCUCAUCCAUUUGGGCACCCCUGCCCAGGAAGAGCCCGGCCAUCCCUUUCCGGACUGGAUCCUUAAGAGGUGAAUUUUCUUCCGUGGAUUCCGAUUUGCUCCGUCUGACCAGCCUAGGCAAUCCAGCAUCGCGUGGUACCAGUGCCGCUGGGCACACUGGCUUCACGCCGGCUCCGCCUCACCAGCAAGCGCAUUCCCAGGUGGUCAGGCUCAGGAUGGACCAUGAGCUUUCAAAAAGGAAAAAGCUUUUUCUGGAGGAAAUUCGCAUUUGAAUUGAUGGACUGAAUAAAGCAGAUUGCAGUCCCCAGUGUGGAUGGGCUUGAUCCAGUCUUCUAAGGACCCAAAUAAAAUAGGUGGAGGAAGCUUGAAUUUUCUGCCUGACUGUGGCGCUGGGACACCCAUCUUCUCCUGCCCUUGAACUGGGACUGACACCAUCAGUGCUCCUGGUUCUCAGACCUUCGGACAGCAGACUUGGGGCCUUCUCGGCCUCCAUUAUUGUAGGAGAAAAUGAGACACUGAGUGGGACUCAGGGAUUGCUCCAGGCCACACAGUCAGCAGGAGGCAAAGCCCAGAUUCAAAUGCAGAUUACUCAGCUCCACAAUCCACAUCCUCACAGGAGGCUGCACUCCUUGCCCAAGCGUCAGACAGGAGCAAAGAGAAAGAAGGCAACCAGCUGGCUACUUUCUUCCCUUCUUGGAUGCCUCCAACAGGGUGAGAAGGACUAAACAAAUGACCAAGUGUCAUCCCAUUUUGGACAUACUUAAAACACCCCAUGGAAUUUUUAUUCUGACUUUCUUCUGCCUGUGUGGCAUUUAUGUUUAAAUAAAAGAGAAUUCAACUCG